CCUACGGGAGGCAGCAGUGGGGAAUCUUGCGCAAUGGGCGAAAGCCUGACGCAGCCAUGCCGCGUGAAUGAUGAAGGUCUUAGGAUUGUAAAAUUCUUUCACCGAGGACGAUAAUGACGGUACUCGGAGAAGAAGCCCCGGCUAACUUCGUGCCAGCAGCCGCGGUAAUACGAAGGGGGCUAGCGUUGCUCGGAAUUACUGGGCGUAAAGGGAGCGUAGGCGGAUAGUUUAGUCAGGGGUGAAAGCCCAGGGCUCAACCUUGGAAUUGCCUUUGAUACUGGCUAUCUUGAGUACGGAAGAGGUAUGUGGAACUCCGAGUGUAGAGGUGAAAUUCGUAGAUAUUCGGAAGAACACCAGUGGCGAAGGCGACAUACUGGUCCGUUACUGACGCUGAGGCUCGAAAGCGUGGGGAGCAAACAGGAUUAGAUACCCUGGUAGUCCACGCUGUAAACGAUGAGUGCUAGUUGUCGGCAUGCAUGCAUGUCGGUGACGCAGCUAACGCAUUAAGCACUCCGCCUGGGGAGUACGGUCGCAAGAUUAAAACUUAAAUGAAUUGACGG
RNAcentral lists this ribosomal RNA (560 nucleotides) under uncultured bacterium. Its description in RNAcentral is "bacterial SSU rRNA". It matches the Rfam family "Bacterial small subunit ribosomal RNA", at positions 338 to 916 of the family's 1533-position model. The record is from RNAcentral.